CCUACGGGAGGCAGCAGUGGGGAAUAUUGCACAAUGGGGGAAACCCUGAUGCAGCGACGCCGCGUGAGUGAAGAAGUAAUUCGUUAUGUAAAGCUCUAUCAGCAGGGAAGAAAAUGACGGUACCUGAGUAAGAAGCCCCGGCUAACUACGUGCCAGCAGCCGCGGUAAUACGUAGGGGGCAAGCGUUAUCCGGAUUUACUGGGUGGAAAGGGAGCGUAGACGGCAGUGCAAGUCUGGAGUGAAAGGCGGGGGCUCAACCCUCGGACUGCUCUGGAAACUGUACGGCUGGAGUGCAGGAGAGGUAAGUGGAAUUCCUAGUGUAGCGGUGAAAUGCGUAGAUAUUAGGAGGAACACCAGUGGCGAAGGCGGCUUACUGGACUGUAACUGACGUUGAGGCUCGAAAGCGUGGGGAGCAAACAGGAUUAGAUACCCUUGUAGUC
Molecule: ribosomal RNA, 440 nt
Filed under: uncultured bacterium
Lineage: Bacteria
Description: partial 16S ribosomal RNA
Rfam family: Bacterial small subunit ribosomal RNA
Source: RNAcentral